GCCAUAGCUCAGUGGUAGAGCAUUUGUCUUGCAUGCAGAAGGUUCCUAGUCUGACACACACACACCCCAGGUAUCUCCA
Podarcis lilfordi (Lilford's wall lizard) is the source of this 79-nucleotide non-coding RNA. Lineage: Eukaryota; Metazoa; Chordata; Lepidosauria; Squamata; Lacertidae. The record is from the annotation of a GenBank genome assembly.